GCGGGUGUGCAAGUCAGGUGUGAAAUUCCACGGCUCAACUGUGGAGCUGCACUUGAAACUGCAUAUCUUGAGUGAAGUAGAGGCAAUUGGAAUUCCCGGUGUAGCGGUAAAAUGCGUAGAUAUCGGGAGGAACACCAGUGGCGAAGGCGGAUUGCUGGGCUUUAACUGACGCUGAGGCGCGAAAGCGUGGGGAGCAAACAGGAUUAGAUACCCUGGUAGUCCACGCCGUAAACGAUGGAUACUAGGUGUGGGAGGUAUCGACCCCUUCCGUGCCGCAGUUAACACAAUAAGUAUCCCACCUGGGGAGUACGACCGCAAGGUUGAAACUCAAAGGAAUUGACGGAGGCCCGCACAAGCAGUGGAGUAUGUGGUUUAAUUCGAAGCAACGCGAAGAACCUUACCAGGGUUUGACAUCCAAGGAAUCCUACAGAGA
Molecule: ribosomal RNA, 433 nt
Filed under: uncultured Gram-positive bacterium
Lineage: Bacteria
Description: bacterial SSU rRNA
Rfam family: Bacterial small subunit ribosomal RNA
Source: RNAcentral